AUACCUUUCUCGGCCUUUUGGCUAAGAUAAAGUAUUAUAUUUAUUCUUAUCAGCUUAAUAUCUGACAUGUGGACCAUAUGCUCACUUUGAUAUUAAAUUUAUUUUUAUAGGUAUCAAAUAUGAUUGUAUGUUGUCGUAGCUCACGGGCAUUGUACUAGUUUGCUAUAAAAGCACAAUUCAUUUUCCCAAAUUAACCAUAU
Molecule: non-coding RNA, 200 nt
Organism: Zea mays
Lineage: Eukaryota; Viridiplantae; Streptophyta; Magnoliopsida; Poales; Poaceae
Source: Rfam